Molecule: long non-coding RNA, 1606 nt
Filed under: Phoenix dactylifera (date palm)
Lineage: Eukaryota; Viridiplantae; Streptophyta; Magnoliopsida; Arecales; Arecaceae
Description: long non-coding RNA (PDAC_LNC000560)
Source: RNAcentral
AAAUAUUUAUUAGAAACGAAAUAAGGUUUAUACAACUCCAAGAAUAGAAAUCAAAAAUAUAAAACCCUUGGCCCUUUAUUAGGGCUGCAUCCGACCCUAGUGAGAAGAUCAGCCCUGCAUGGAAUUGGAGACGGUAGCAGCAGCACAGCAGCGAGCUCCCAUCUCUCCCUCUUGCGAUUCUCUUGAGAACGGCUCCUUCUUAACUCUUAUGGGAAGUCAUUCCCAAAAUAACCAAAACUCUUCUCUUCCUUCUCUGUAUCCGUGGGACUCCGCUUCUCCCCUGUUCCGAAGAGAUCCUGGAACUCGACCCCCAAAGCUUGCCUUCCCCGGUUGCACGUCUGGGUUUUUAUAGGCUGCAACAUCUCUCUCUUCUUCCGCGUUUCACGUUGCGAUAAGGAUAGAGGAACGGUUUCUGUUUCACGGCAGCGGGCGACGUGAGCGUUAGGAAGAAAUGCUUGAUUUUUGGAAAGAUAAACUUCUGAGAUGCAGUGGAUUUAGAAGAAGCUGAGAGAUGCGGAUGUUGGGUUCGGUUGAAUACGUGGACAAAGACAGAUUACGAUGGGAUGAGAGUUGAAUCUAUUGGAUGCAGGGGAUGCCGUGAAGCUCGGUGUGCUUUGAUUGAAUUUUAUCCCAUGGAUGUUGGAAGCUGCGAACGGAAGGAUAGUUGGAUUGAAUCAGAAGAGGAUAUCCAGAAGAUAAUCUAUGGAAUAAAUCUAGAAACGUUGGGAGGAAAGCUGGAACUCAUUGGAUUCAUCUCGGUUGGGUGGACUGUUAACAUUCUGUUCUGAAGCAGGGGAAUCUGAAAGGGAAUUUGAUUGCUGGGAGCUUAUCCGUGGAGGGGGAAGCGGUUGUUUUGAUUUGUGAUGAAGAGGAGAUGAUUUAGGAGUAGGGGAUGUGAAGGAAUCGGCUGAUUAGUUGCCAUUUGUUGGGAGUUUUGCUCUUCACAGCUGAAACAGGGGAUUCAGUUCGAAUGGGAUGAGGGCUGGUUGGUUGAUCUUGUUUGGGAGGAUCUCGGAAGAGAAUGAGAGCUUGAAGAUCUGGGAUUAAUCCAGAAAACUGUUUGGUUGACGAUGACGUUGGGAUCAUUUGGUUAUGCUGCCGUUGCUGAGGUUGUUUGGAUGAUGAUAGGAAGGCUGGGAGCUAGCGGAAUCUAGUUGGGAGGAAUGGGAAAUGCUUGGCUUGGACGCUGGGACUUGGCUGGGAGGAGCUGGAUCUUAUCGUGGGUCACGGGAGGAUGAAGCUGAGGAAGCUGGGGAGCAGGGGAUCUUUGGAUAAGGCUUGGGAUUUGUUGAUAAAUACUGAACGGUAAUGAAGGGGAUAUGAGAAGUUAAGUUGUUUUGUCAACGGAGAGGAGCUGCGGGUUGUGUUUAGAGAUGGAAUAAGGAUGGGUUGAGGCUUUGAGAUCCGUGCAAUUAGAUGAUAUAAGAAACAAAUAAUUGAAGAGAUUUUAUUAAAAUCGGAUCAUGUGGAAAAAGAGUUGGGUGACUGAAUCAGAGGGUCUUGAUUUGCGGGGUGCAUAUGAUUUGGAUUCAGGGAUCAUCCCAAAUAAGUUUGACUUGACCUGCAUUCAUUAGGCUUAAUCAUUAAAUAAUUAAAUCAACUCGAA